Molecule: ribosomal RNA, 208 nt
Filed under: uncultured bacterium
Lineage: Bacteria
Description: partial 16S ribosomal RNA
Rfam family: Bacterial small subunit ribosomal RNA
Source: RNAcentral
GAGGUGUGAAAUCCCUGGGCUCAACCUAGGAACUGCAUUUCAAACUGGAUAACUUGAGUAUGUCAGAGGGUAUUGGAAUUUCCCCGUGUAGCAGUGAAAAUGCGUAGAUAUGGGAAGGAACAUCAGUGGCGAAGGCGAAUACCUGGGAUAAUACUGACGCUGAGGUGCGAAAGCGUGGGGAGCAAACGGGAUUAGAUACCCCUGGUAG